AUACGUAGGGUGCGAGCGUUGUCCGGAAUUACUGGGCGUAAAGAGCUCGUAGGUGGUUUGUCGCGUCGUCUGUGAAAUUCCGGGGCUUAACUCCGGGCGUGCAGGCGAUACGGCCAUAACUUGAGUACUGUAGGGGAGACUGGAAUUCCUGGUGUAGCGGUGAAAUGCGCAGAUAUCAGGAGGAACACCGGUGGCGAAGGCGGGUCUCUGGGCAGUAACUGACGCUGGGGAGCGAAAGCAUGGGUAGCGAACAGGAUUAGAUACCCUGGUAGUCCAUGCCGUAAACGGUGGGCGCUAGGUGUAGGGGUCUUCCACGACUUCUGUGCCGUAGCUAACGCAUUAAGCGCCCCGCCUGGGGAGUACGGCCGCAAGGCUAAAACUCAAAUGAAUUGACGGGG
This 398-nucleotide ribosomal RNA is filed under the name uncultured bacterium. Its description in RNAcentral is "partial 16S ribosomal RNA". It matches the Rfam family "Bacterial small subunit ribosomal RNA", at positions 523 to 918 of the family's 1533-position model. The record is from RNAcentral.